UACGAAGGGUGCAAGCGUUACUCGGAAUUACUGGGCGUAAAGCGUGCGCAGGCGGUUGUGCAAGUCCGAUGUGAAAUCCCCGGGCUUAACCUGGGAACUGCAUUGGUGACUGUACGGCUAGAGUGUGUCAGAGGGGGGUAGAAUUCCACGUGUAGCAGUGAAAUGCGUAGAGAUGUGGAGGAAUACUGAUGGCGAAGGCAGCCCCCUGGGAUAACACCGACGCUCAUGCACGAAAGCGUGGGGAGCAAACAGG
Molecule: ribosomal RNA, 253 nt
Filed under: uncultured bacterium
Lineage: Bacteria
Description: partial 16S ribosomal RNA
Rfam family: Bacterial small subunit ribosomal RNA
Source: RNAcentral